This 459-nucleotide ribosomal RNA is filed under the name uncultured bacterium. RNAcentral's name for it is "partial 16S ribosomal RNA". It matches the Rfam family "Bacterial small subunit ribosomal RNA", at positions 338 to 795 of the family's 1533-position model. The record is from RNAcentral.
CCUACGGGAUGCAGCAGUGAGGAAUAUUGGUCAAUGGGCGGAAGCCUGAACCAGCCAAGUAGCGUGCGGGAUGAAGGCCCUACGGGUCGUAAACCGCUUUUGCACGGGGAUAACACCCUCCACUUGUGGAGGUCUGCAGGUACCGUGCGAAUAAGGGCCGGCUAAUUACGUGCCAGCAGCCGCGGUCAUACGGAAGGCCCGAGCGUUAUCCGGAUUCAUUGGGCUUAAAGGGCGCGUAGGCGGGCGUUCAAGUCAGCUGUAAAAUCGCGCGGCUCAACCGCGCCCCGCAGUUGAAACUGGACGCAUUGAGUUCACAACAGGCAGGCGGAAUUCGUGGUGUAGCGGUGAAAUGCAGAGAUAUCACGAGGAACCCCGAUUGCGAAGGCAGCCUGCCGGGGUGCGACUGACGCUGAGGCUCGAAGGUGCGGGUAUCAAACAGGAUUAGAUACCCUAGUAGUC